RNAcentral lists this transfer RNA (66 nucleotides) under Marmota monax (woodchuck). RNAcentral's name for it is "tRNA.Undet". The record is from RNAcentral. Lineage: Eukaryota; Metazoa; Chordata; Mammalia; Rodentia; Sciuridae.
GGAAUUAGCUCAAUGGUAGAGCAGUUGCCCAUAAGCACAAGGCCCUGGGUUCAAUUCCCAGCACUA